Molecule: ribosomal RNA, 253 nt
Filed under: uncultured bacterium
Lineage: Bacteria
Description: partial 16S ribosomal RNA
Rfam family: Bacterial small subunit ribosomal RNA
Source: RNAcentral
UACGAAGGGGGCUAGCGUUGCUCGGAAUUACUGGGCGUAAAGGGCGCGUAGGCGGACAGUUUAGUCAGAGGGGAAAGCCCAGGGCUCAACCUUGGAAUUGCCUUUGAUACUGGCUGUCUUGAGUUCGGGAGAGGUGAGUGGAAUGCCGAGUGUAGAGGUGAAAUUCGUAGAUAUUCGGCGGAACACCAGUGGCGAAGGCGACUCACUGGCCCGAUACUGACGCUGAGGCGCGAAAGCGUGGGGAGCAAACAGG